AUACGUAGGGUGCGAGCGUUGUCCGGAAUUAUUGGGCGUAAAGGGCUCGUAGGCGGUUAGUCGCGUCGGGAGUGAAAACACCGGGCUUAACUCGGUGCUUGCUUUCGAUACGGGCAGACUGGAGGCAUGCAGGGGAGAACGGAAUUCCUGGUGUAGCGGUGAAAUGCGCAGAUAUCAGGAGGAACACCGGUGGCGAAGGCGGUUCUCUGGGCAUGUCCUGACGCUGAGGAGCGAAAGUGUGGGGAGCGAACA
RNAcentral lists this ribosomal RNA (252 nucleotides) under uncultured prokaryote. RNAcentral describes it as "partial 16S ribosomal RNA". It matches the Rfam family "Bacterial small subunit ribosomal RNA", at positions 523 to 774 of the family's 1533-position model. The record is from RNAcentral.